RNAcentral lists this transfer RNA (73 nucleotides) under Taibaiella sp. Its description in RNAcentral is "tRNA-Thr". It matches the Rfam family "tRNA". From Rfam's summary of the family: Transfer RNA (tRNA) molecules are approximately 80 nucleotides in length. Their secondary structure includes four short double-helical elements and three loops (D, anti-codon, and T loops). The record is from RNAcentral. Lineage: Bacteria; Pseudomonadati; Bacteroidota; Chitinophagia; Chitinophagales; Chitinophagaceae. RNAcentral also lists the same sequence under 10 other names.
GCCACUUUAGCUCAGCUGGUAGAGCAACUGAUUUGUAAUCAGUAGGUCGCUGGUUCGAUCCCGGCAAGUGGCU